CCUACGGGUGGCUGCAGUGGGGAAUAUUGCACAAUGGGCGAAAGCCUGAUGCAGCGACGCCGCGUGAGCGAAGAAGGCCUCCGGUUCGUAAAGCCCUGUCCUAAGGGAAGAAAAGGACGGUACCUUAGGAGGAAGCCCCGGCUAACUACGUGCCAGCAGCCGCGGUAAUACGUAGGGGGCGAGCGUUAUCCGGAAUUACUGGGCGUAAAGGGUGCGUAAGCGGCCUUAUAAGUCAGAUGUGAAAGGCUACGGCUUAACCGUAGUUAGCAUUUGAAACUAGAAGGCUUGAGUGCAGGAGAGGAGGGUCGAACUCCUGGUGUAGCGGUGAAAUGCGUAGAUACUAGGAGAGAAACCAGUGGCGACGGAGAUUCUCUGGACUGCAACUGACCCUGAGGCACGAAAGCGUGGGGAGCGGACAGGAUUAGAUUCCGUUGUAGUC
Molecule: ribosomal RNA, 439 nt
Filed under: uncultured bacterium
Lineage: Bacteria
Description: partial 16S ribosomal RNA
Rfam family: Bacterial small subunit ribosomal RNA
Source: RNAcentral